This 24-nucleotide non-coding RNA is filed under the name Arabidopsis thaliana (thale cress). The record is from RNAcentral. Lineage: Eukaryota; Viridiplantae; Streptophyta; Magnoliopsida; Brassicales; Brassicaceae.
AGACCUGCCAUAACCGCUUGAUCC